This is a non-coding RNA of Pelobates cultripes (western spadefoot toad), 1341 nucleotides long. Lineage: Eukaryota; Metazoa; Chordata; Amphibia; Anura; Pelobatidae. The record is from the annotation of a GenBank genome assembly.
AUCAUUGAAAGGGUUAAUGUUGUAAUGGACUCUAAUCCCCUCGGUUCUCGAUCCCUCGGUCACCAUAAUCAACGUUGAUGGAGAAUCAUUUGUAAGCAAUAACACACGGACAACAGCUUUACAAGACUCUCAAAUGAGUGUAUUCCAGAGCUGGCUUUUAUACAUAGUUUGCUUACAUUAGCCAUGGUAUAUGCAAAUACAGUACAGACUAUAAGAUUUAUUACUUCCUUGUAUUACGUUAUUCUGACAAUGGAAAGAUAAGCUUUUGCAUACGUCUGGGAAAGAAUAUCCUUAAAAUCGGAAUGGGCAAGACAUCCUGAAAUUUAGCAUUAUCUUACAUCCUAUAGAAGAAAUACCUUAGUCUGUCACAGUCAGCAUAUUAUGUCGUAUAUUGAGUUGAGUUUAAGUAUUCAAUAUUCCUUCAGUCAGCAAUAAUCAUGUUAUAAACCUUAUAAAAGCAUAAAAUACAUAUAAACAAGUUAACUAUUUAAUAUUCUUACAUUCCCCUCUUUGAGCAAUAAAACAAUUGCUCAUCUUAUCGAUAAAAUCUUACCAGGACAGAGAAACUUCCACAUGGUAUUUUCAGGGGUGCUAGUCACUCCCUGCGGGGCUUUCAUUAAUUUCUUCACCUCGAUUCCCAUGUGGUAAUUCCUAAGGCCCAGUUUAAAGAUGGGUUGAUACCCUCCAGUGGCAGAGAGGAGAAUUUCUAAUUGUUUCUGUUCUGCAUUAUGGAUUCAUUUCUGUACUCUCUUCCUCAAUGUACAAGUAAGGUGACAGUUAUAUAAAACCAUACACAAUAAAAUCAGGACUAUAAUAACAAAAGGAUAGAAGAAUGAUUUCAUUAUCUGGGAUCCAGUAGGGGACCAACCAGUGAAGCAUCGUACCAAUGAUGGGCUAAAUCAUUCUGAAUUUGUGAACUCACCUUAAGGAGUUCUCCUUUUAGGAUAUGUGUGGCUACCUGUGUGUGUUAUCUUUGGGAAAAAUAUAGUCCCCUGUGUAUGUGGGUGCCCACCAGGUUAAAUUCUUGGCAAAAAGAUCAUAAACUGGUACUGGUAAUGUGUUAAAUUGACAAGCUAAUUUAACAUCCUUUGAUGAUGUAUGAUAUAAUGUAAAAUAGCAUGAGCAUGAAAUAUGUGAAACAUUACCAGUUAACCAUCCAUUGCAUUUACUGGAUUGGGGUUUUAGAAGUAACCAUUCAUUAUCUGUGAGGUUACGCUUUCCUCUAAUCUUCUCUAGUUUAGGAAUCAUUAGUGUGUUUUCUAAUGCCAAUCCUUGUUGUUGUAUCCAUAAAUACCUGAUGGCACAAGUACUCCAGUUACUUAGACCUGUAGUGAAUUUCAU